RNAcentral lists this ribosomal RNA (394 nucleotides) under uncultured bacterium. Its description in RNAcentral is "partial 16S ribosomal RNA". It matches the Rfam family "Bacterial small subunit ribosomal RNA", at positions 338 to 729 of the family's 1533-position model. The record is from RNAcentral.
CCUACGGGGGGCAGCAGUGAGGAAUAUUGGUCAAUGGCCGUAAGGCUGAACCAGCCAAGUCGCGUGAAGGAAGAAGGACCUAUGGUUUGUAAACUUCUUUUAUAGGGGAAUAAAGGUAUCCACGUGUGGCUAUUUGCAUGUACCCUAUGAAUAAGCAUCGGCUAACUCCGUGCCAGCAGCCGCGGUAAUACGGAGGAUGCGAGCGUUAUCCGGAUUUAUUGGGUUUAAAGGGUGCGUAGGUUGUUUUGUAAGUUAGCGGUGAAAGUUUGGGGCUCAACCCUAAAAUUGCCGUUGAAACUGGCAGACUUGAGUGUGCUUGAGGUAGGCGGAAUGCGUGGUGUAGCGGUGAAAUGCAUAGAUAUCACGCAGAACUCCGAUUGCGAAGGCAGCUUAC